Molecule: long non-coding RNA, 2806 nt
Organism: Anneissia japonica
Lineage: Eukaryota; Metazoa; Echinodermata; Crinoidea; Comatulida; Comatulidae
Exons: 4
Source: RefSeq, a predicted model, not a curated record
CUGCGUAUUCUUAUAGUUCAGACUAACGCGGCUACCCACUUUUUCAUGAUGUUACUGUGGUUUCUGUUAAUGCAUUACUUUCCAAGAAUGAGCUUGCCUUCAAUUCAUUAUUACUCUAUUUUGCUAGCAGACGACGCACGUCUCGCGGGAAGUUUGAUUUUCCUUUUUUAAUACGACUGCCGGCCCGUACCACACGAUGUACUUCGACAGUGUUUACUCCAAAUGGAUAUUUUAUGCACAGUACAAAUGUAUUAACUAAAUUCAAUAAAAUAUGUAAAGAAAUCUAUAAUUUUUGAAUACUCAAUAAUUUAUUUGAAAAACGACAUUUUAUUCAUAAUUUCUUGGUGAAUAAUUGUAAUAAAUAAAUGAACAGCGCCACAAAUUUGAAGAAGAAGUACCAAUAGAAAAUUCACCGUAAGUUCUCUCUGUUUUUGUUCACACAGUUAAUCAAACAGAAACAUGUAAAUAUAAUAAGAAUAUUAAAUCAUCGUUUGUCUAUUAUACCUAGGUUUUGUUAAAGAUUCCCGAUGGUUAAUUAUUAAUUAAAGUUUGAUUGAAUGUGUGCUAUCGAUUGUACAUUCGCUGUAUGUUUACCGAAUUGUUUACUGUGUAACAUAGGGCCUAGCCCUGUCAAGAGGUUAGCCUAGCCCACAAUAGUAUAGGCCUAUAAAUGAUUCCUGUAGAAUUUAUUGGUUCACUUAAUGUUUUGGUUUAGUUUUAUGAAUUUUAAAAUAAAACAAGAAUAACUGGAAUAACAAUACUACAGUAUAUUUAUUUAUAUAUUUUUUAUUUAUAAUGUAUGUAAUGUAUGUUUUUAUAAUGUAAUGUGUAACCACUUCUAUUGCAAAUUUUGCUUUAUUAAUUUGAGUAAAGCAAUUGGAAAAGAGAGCAUUGAAUGUCUUGUUUGCUGUGAUGAAAUCAACAAUGAAACAACUCAUGAAGUAUCACCCCUAGUGAAAAAUGCAUUGAAAACUGCUCUUUUAAAAUGCAAGGAAUGUGCCACUGAAUUGGUGACCAUGACAUGACGGAUUUUGAGGCAGCAAAUACAGAGGCAUCUGAAGAACGAACAUCUAGCAUAGAUAAACCUGUUGAAAGCAGAAAUAGAACGGUUGCGUGAUGACCUUUCAUUGUCCAUUCUUAAGCAUGAACAUAGUGAAGCACUUACAAAUCAGGUGGUUGAGAUUUGCAGAGAAAUUGCCUUAAAAGAAGAAAAGUAUCACCACAAAAAAUAAUAAACUGCAUUUGGUGGAGCUUUCUACUUCAAUUGCAAAUGUUGGUAUUGUAAAUGUUAGUAGAAUUAAUAAAUGAAAUGAAUUGAAUUACUAAAUAGGAAAAUCAGGUAAAUAAGGAUCUCACAUUUGCAAGUGGCCCACUGGCAAGCAAGAUGGAUGAAAUAUUUGACAGAGAACAAGAUGCCACACAACAAUAUCACAGGAAAAGCUUUGUUGGCGACCACGUACAUUGAGAGGUUGUAAAGUUUGACUAAUAGAUGGAAUGAGCUCAGUAUUACAAACAGUAGAGGAAUGUCCCAUUGGCGCGGCAAAAAUAAUAAACACAGCUUUCAAAGGAUAGAAGCAGAAGCAUGUGUUCCAGUAUUUAAAUCUUUUGCUAAUGUCCAUUUAUCCAUCAAUCACACAAGACCUGUGGAUGAAGAUGAAAUAAAAGAAUAUGAGUUGGCAAUCAAAGAAUUUUCUAUCGCAUUUCGAAAAGUGUGCACUGAACGUGAUGCAGCCAAAAUUGCACAUAUUGGAACACCAUGUUGUUGAAUUCAUGAAGCAGUGAACGUUGGUCUUCGAAUGCUUUCCAAGCAGGGUGGUGAACUUAUCCAUGCAGAAUUCAAUCGCCAGAAUAGAACAGUUUAUGGCAUCAAGAACCCACUUGACCAACUGAUGUCCAUUAUGAAAUCCCACAUAUUUACUUCGCCAGAAAUUCAACACGAAAUAACGAUGAAGGCAAAGAGGAGGAAAUCUAAAGAAUUAGUUAAUGACAUUCGAUCAACAAUAUACAAUUAAUAAUAACCAGAAAUGAACAUUUUUCUUGUGAUAUUUUUUUAAAUGCUUAUUUAAAGUCUUGUCUAGAAGUCAUGUUUUCACAUUUCCUCUCUUUAGAAUGUAAAUAUAGAUUGUCUUGUGUUUUGAAGUAAAUAAAUUAGAUUCAACCUUACAUGAUAUCCUAAGUUAAAUAGUGAGUAUAAUAAUAAUAAUAAUAAUAAUAAUAAUAACAAUAACAGUAAUAAUAAUUCAGGACAAAGCUGAUCAUACUGAUCUGAUUUAAGUUUGCUUUUUUUGUGGGUGGGGAAUUAUUGAGGGGUGGUGGUUGUUGUUACGGUUUCUAUUUCAUGUAAUUUGUAAUAUUGUUGGCAUGGCAUGUAUUUUUGUUAACUGUAUUGGGUUAACAUUUUGCUGUUCUGCUUUAUAAAUAUAACAUAGGCCUAUUAAUUACUAUUUUAUUUCAAACUAAGCCAGGCAAGCAGUAGCAAGCUAUAAUUAUAAGUAUAGGCCUAGUACAGCAGUAGGCCCUAUUGUUGUAUUGUAGUGUAGGCCUAUGCCCAGGCUAGGCCUUAUGUAUAAUUUAGGGAAGAAUGUCUUGAAUUGCAUUGAACUCGUGUAUCAGGGAGGUAUAAAAUUGCUAAUGCUUGUAGUAGUCUUUUAUCUAACAUACAUACUUGAGUUUACUACUGUGUAUGCGUAGCACUGAGCCUACUGUAGGCCUAUAUUGUGUACACAGUGAAACGCAUGCCUCUACUGUUAAGAUACACGUUUAAAUCGAAACAUCGGCAUCAAUAAAAAAAAAAUUCAACUGGGAA